Molecule: small nucleolar RNA, 72 nt
Organism: Anolis carolinensis (green anole)
Lineage: Eukaryota; Metazoa; Chordata; Lepidosauria; Squamata; Anolidae
Source: Ensembl
AAGUGAGAUGAUGGUAUACCAUCUUUCGGGACUGACCUGAAAUGGAGAAAAAUGUGUAACUGCUGAUCACUU